RNAcentral lists this long non-coding RNA (1132 nucleotides) under Cricetulus griseus (Chinese hamster). RNAcentral describes it as "lncRNA (ENSCGRG00015032095.1)". Lineage: Eukaryota; Metazoa; Chordata; Mammalia; Rodentia; Cricetidae. The record is from RNAcentral.
GCCGAACACGUGCUUGCCAUAAACCUGCCUUGGUCACGUAGAGGUCAGAUGCUUGUCUUGUGACAAGGAACCAAUCGGAAGUUAGCUGGUGGCGCUAUGCUUUACGACCCUGGGUGUGCUUUACGGACAAGCGCACGACAAUGACGUAGAGAGCAUAGCAACCACCCUGGGAGGGCCUAUGAGCCAUAACAACCAGUUGACCAAUCAACACAGGGCAAGCCCUCCAAGCCUGGAGGCACACCAAUCGUAAGCCUGUGCGUACCCCUAGACACUCCCCUUACGCUGCCCUAUAAGAUCUUUGGGGAGACCUUAGGAGCCGUCUUUUUCUAGCUGUCCACCAUGGCGGGUGGGUGAAAGACCCGAGCUAACAUGGGGUUAGUUCGUUAAAUUACAAUAAAGCCUCGUGCAGUUUGCAGCAAGCUCUCGAAUCCGCCUGGUGAUUGGGGUGACCGCGAACCUGGCCUGAGACCCCGGAUACUUGAGUUUUCGGGGGUCUAACAUUUUGGGGGCUCGUCCGGGAUUUGCGACCACCCUUCACCUGAGUGGAUUCGAUCUUGGAGGUAAGAUGAUUAGAGCUCGCAACUUAUAUAUGUUCAAUGUUCUAUGUUUCUUGUUUUGUCUCUUGCUGUUUUGUUUGAAUUUGUAAUUUGUAUUUGAUCUGCGCAGAAUUUGUAAUUGAACCAUAGGGUAAGCAGACUUGCGAGAACCUUGGUUCCACCCUGGAUGAAAGUCCAAGGUUUGGUUGUAAUUUUGGUUUGGGGCACCAUUUCUUUGCCGCGGUUUGUCCUGUCUAAUGUCUGUCCUGUCUAAUGUCUCCAUGUCUCAUAUUUGUGGCAUGCAUGGGUCAGGGGUCUUUUCUUGUUGCCCUAAGCACAUGGCACGGGAAAGGAGUUCUGCCAUGUGUCACGGGUUAGAAUGUGUUAUGUUGGAGUCCCCCGAGGCUGCUUUUCUGAACUCGAACCACUGCUGCAGCCCUUACAGCUGAGCCUGGCCCAUUUUAUAAUGUCAGACAGACUGCCAGAUCCGGACAGUGACCCAAAGUCUCCAAAGAAGAUUACGAGGCACUUCAGUUCCUGCACCUGGACCAGUGAGCAAGAUGCUCAGAUAUGAUACCUGCCGCCUGCCAGAACCU